Long non-coding RNA from Ruditapes philippinarum (Manila clam), 1703 nucleotides. RefSeq lists it as uncharacterized. The transcript has 3 exons. NCBI's taxonomy places the organism in Eukaryota, Metazoa, Mollusca, Bivalvia, Venerida, Veneridae. The record is from RefSeq and is a predicted model, not a curated record.
CAAACACACGGCGUUAAAGUAACGUCGGGUUAACGUUAGUUUUUGAUCACGACGUCGGCGACCAAAAUACGACGUAAAGCUGACGUCCAAAAACCGAUGUCUAUUAGACGUUUCUUUUUGACGUCGUACUAAUGUCAGGUUCUGGUCGGUGUCCUGACGGUAGGUAAAAAAUUAAUAAAAAAUAAUCCUUAUCCGCUGUUGUAAUCAUUUAAACUUUUUUUUCAAAUGUUAUUUGGCUUACAAAUUAAGUGUAUCAAGUGCCUUUCGAAGACCAAGUGUUCGGCGCUGCAACCUAAUAAACAUAUAGGUGGCGCUGUAUAUAAGCAAGUUAAAUUACAUGUGUUAUUGUUAUGAAAUCUAUUUAUAGCCACAGAUCUGUUUACGAGUUCCAAUCAUUUAACGUUAUAAUAUUAUCAUUUGUGGUACAUUAUAUGUUUUUAAUAGUGAUUUAACAUUUAAUCAUAGUGACAGAAAAAGGAAAUAUAACAUUAUUAUAAUUCGAAUAUACAGCCACGUGGAGGAAAAAUUCAAAUUCGUAAGCGUUUCGUACGUUUUGGCGGAGGUCAGGAAUCGGGAUGUAUUGAUAAAGUGAAUAUUCUAGAUUUUCUUGGAGAAAAAGGUAGUUCAAGUGUUGGACAUGCUCUUAAAGGUCGGAGGGACAGAAAUACGUGACAAUGUAAAAAGAAACAUGGGAAAUGAAAAUGAUAUAACAAACGCCAUUGGACCGUAACAUAUCCUCCAGACAGACGAGGGGUGGUGAGAGAAGGUCAUACAUGAAUAUCUGAAAGCAUCACACCUCCAAAUUUGUGCUAAUUCUCAUGGAUAUUUAAAAGUAUAACUUUGUGAAGUAACUAAAAGGAAGUAAUUUAUACGUUAGUGUCUGUAAGUGACAGUUAUCAAAAGGAGGUAAAAAUAUGCCAAAAUAGAACUAAAUGUUUUAGUUAUGCUGUAGAAAUAGAGUUAAAAUACUGCAAAUCUAAAAUCUGUCAUUAAUUGUUUGAACCAUUAUUAUCCGAAUCGUUUAACAUUUCUUGAAAUUAUAAUAUUUUCAUUUUGUUUAUAAGGCAAACUUUGAAUAUCCUCUAUAUGUUUUAUUUAUUUCAUUGUUUUUGUAAUACUGUUUGUUUUGUUAUAAACUUAUUUUAUGUUUUAUUUUGUUUAAUUUAUGAAAAGUAUUUAGCCUUGCAGAAUUUACUAAAACUGUAUGUAUCAGCUUUAAAUUGCAACUUUUAUUUUAAAUAAAAACAACAUGAAAACAUAUUUUUGCUUUUAGUUUUUUGUUAUACAUUUCAUUGGAGUGAAAGUUACUUAAUAGAAUGAGUUACAUUAAAUUUGAGCCAUAAAAUAUCUAUAACAUGGUAAAACAAAAAGGAUUAGGGAAAUGAUCAGGUUAAGGUCAGAAAUUGGUCGGAUUUAGGGCAGAAAAGGAUUAAGAUUUAGGUCGGAAAAUGGUCAGAUUGAGGUCGGAAAAUGGUCAGAAACUGGUUAGAUUUAGGUCGGAAAAUGGUCAGAUUCAGGUCGGAAAAUGGUCAGAAACUGGUUAGAUAAUGGUCAGAUUUUGGUCAGAUAAUGGUUAGAUUCUGACCUCUACCUGACGUCAGAUUAUUACGUCAAAAAAACUUUCAAAUCCAACCGUUUUCCCGACCGUCAUCCGACGUCAGAACCUGACUUAAAUCUGGCGUCAGCUUGACGUCUUGUGUUUG